GAGCUCGUAGGCGGUCUGUCGCGUCUGCUGUGAAAUCCCGAGGCUCAACCUCCGGCCUGCAGUGGGUACGGGCAGACUAGAGUGCGGUAGGGGAGAUUGGAAUUCCUGGUGUAGCGGUGGAAUGCGCAGAUAUCAGGAGGAACACCGAUGGCGAAGGCAGAUCUCUGGGCCGUAACUGACGCUGAGGAGCGAAAGGGUGGGGAGCAAACAGGCUUAGAUACCCUGGUAGUCCACCCCGUAAACGUUGGGAACUAGUUGUGGGGUCCAUUCCACGGAUUCCGUGACGCAGCUAACGCAUUAAGUUCCCCGCCUGGGGAGUACGGCCGCAAGGCUAAAACUCAAAGGAAUUGACGGGGACCCGCACAAGCGGCGGAGCAUGCGGAUUAAUUCGAUGCAACGCGAAGAACCUUACCAAGGGUUGACAUAUACGAGAACGGGCUAGAAAUGGUCAACUCUUUGGACACUCGUAAACAGGUGGUGCAUGGUUGUCGUCAGCUCGUGUCGUGAGAUGUUGGGUUAAGUCCCGCAACGAGCGCAACCCUCGUUCUAUGUUGCCAGCACGUAAUGGUGGGAACUCAUGGGAUACUGCCGGGGUCAACUCGGAGGAAGGUGGGGAUGACGUCAAAUCAUCAUGCCCCUUAUGUCUUGGGCUUCACGCAUGCUACAAUGGCCGGUACAAAGGGCUGCAAUACCGCGAGGUGGAGCGAAUCCCAAAAAGCCGGUCCCAGUUCGGAUUGAGGUCUGCAACUCGACCUCAUGAAGUCGGAGUCGCUAGUAAUCGCAGAUCAGCAACGCUGCGGUGAAUACGUUCCCGGGUCUUGUACACACCGCCCGUCAAGUCAUGAAAGUCGGUAACACCUGAAGCCGGUGGCCUAACCCUUGUGGAGGGAGCCGUCGAAGGUGGGAUCGGUAAUUAGGACGAAGUCGUA
This 929-nucleotide ribosomal RNA is filed under the name Microbacterium sp. Its description in RNAcentral is "bacterial SSU rRNA". It matches the Rfam family "Bacterial small subunit ribosomal RNA", at positions 565 to 1490 of the family's 1533-position model. The record is from RNAcentral. Lineage: Bacteria; Bacillati; Actinomycetota; Actinomycetes; Micrococcales; Microbacteriaceae.